AUGUCUAGAAGACAUUCUCUUCCUCUCCCUCCUGCUUCUUUGUUCAUUCUCAAGAAUAGGCUAGAAACUGGAGUGCUAAUUGGGAUCUGUUUGCCUGUAGGAGAAUCAUUGGCCCCUGUGGUUUAUCAUUCUUCUCUUCCGUUAUCCUCUCAUGACCUACGGCUGUGCAUCCACAAUAUGGGUAUUUACAAGUCGAGAAGGGGGUGGACCACAGAGAGAUCAAGACCUUCAAAGUCCAGCUUACUAAAAGACUUCUCUUUUGAGGCAUGGAGAUAUCUCAGCUAUCAGAAAAAAAAAAUGAAGCUGAAGGAGGAGUGGUCAGCCAAACCAGGUAGAGCUCGACCUUCUGAGGGCAUGCUGCCUCCUUCCAUGCUGUCCCCACUGAGGUUAGAGGACCAGUUUUCCUUCAGACAUGGCCACCUCUGAUCAUCUGACUGAAAAAGUUCUUUGGCUCAGUCCAGCUGUACAAACCACGGAGGUGAUUGAGAAAGACAUUUAUCUAAGAGAAGUUGAGAAUAUUAUGGAUAAUAUGAAGGUAUAUUAUUAUGUACAAUAACAUAUAUAAUGUAGAGGAAGUGUGAUUGACUGGGAAGAGAAAAGCAAAAUAACUGCAGUAUUUCAGAAAAUAUCACACUCCUUUAUUUGGCAAAACACUGUUUUCUACCAAAAUAGCCUCAUUCCAUACUUCCUUGAAUAUGUUUAAUGAGAUUGUUUCUGAAAUUUGCUCAAUUUAAGGUUUACCUCUAAACACCUUUUAAAGAUUACUGUCAGAUUUGGGGAAAUUAACUUAAAUACACUUUUUCUUUGACAAUUAAACAGAGUCAGAUACCCCUGAGAAUUCCUCAAACUUGUAUUUCUAGCUCUUUUUUCUCUUUCCUUACAUAAUAAAGUAUAGCCAUUAUCUUUUCCA
RNAcentral lists this long non-coding RNA (910 nucleotides) under Felis catus (domestic cat). RNAcentral describes it as "lncRNA (ENSFCAG00000045111.2)". Lineage: Eukaryota; Metazoa; Chordata; Mammalia; Carnivora; Felidae. The record is from RNAcentral.